RNAcentral lists this ribosomal RNA (840 nucleotides) under Salmonella enterica subsp. enterica serovar Louisiana. Its description in RNAcentral is "partial 23S ribosomal RNA". It matches the Rfam family "Bacterial large subunit ribosomal RNA", at positions 161 to 927 of the family's 2925-position model. Lineage: Bacteria; Pseudomonadati; Pseudomonadota; Gammaproteobacteria; Enterobacterales; Enterobacteriaceae. The record is from RNAcentral.
AAUCCAUAGGUUAAUGAGGCGAACCGGGGGAACUGAAACAUCUAAGUACCCCGAGGAAAAGAAAUCAACCGAGAUUCCCCCAGUAGCGGCGAGCGAACGGGGAGGAGCCCAGAGCCUGAAUCAGCAUGUGUGUUAGUGGAAGCGUCUGGAAAGGCGCGCGAUACAGGGUGACAGCCCCGUACACAAAAGCGCAUGUGCUGUGAGCUCGAUGAGUAGGGCGGGACACGUGGUAUCCUGUCUGAAUAUGGGGGGACCAUCCUCCAAGGCUAAAUACUCCUGACUGACCGAUAGUGAACCAGUACCGUGAGGGAAAGGCGAAAAGAACCCCGGCGAGGGGAGUGAAAAAGAACCUGAAACCGUGUACGUACAAGCAGUGGGAGCCCCACCACCAAAGCGUUUCGCUUUGUGUGGUGCACAAAGAAGCGUAACGACAGCACUGAAUGACGGUUAACGGAGCGCAAGCGACGUUCAACAUACAAAGUCAAGCAGUGGAGCGCUUUGGGGUGGGGUGACUGCGUACCUUUUGUAUAAUGGGUCAGCGACUUAUAUUCUGUAGCAAGGUUAACCGAAUAGGGGAGCCGGAGGGAAACCGAGUCUUAAUUGGGCGUUAAGUUGCAGGGUAUAGACCCGAAACCCGGUGAUCUAGCCAUGGGCAGGUUGAAGGUUGGGUAACACUAACUGGAGGACCGAACCGACUAAUGUUGAAAAAUUAGCGGAUGACCUGUGGCUGGGGGUGAAAGGCCAAUCAAACCGGGAGAUAGCUGGUUCUCCCCGAAAGCUAUUUAGGUAGCGCCUCGUGAAUUCAUCUCCGGGGGUAGAGCACUGUUUCGGCUAGGGGGC